Molecule: ribosomal RNA, 377 nt
Filed under: uncultured bacterium
Lineage: Bacteria
Description: bacterial SSU rRNA
Rfam family: Bacterial small subunit ribosomal RNA
Source: RNAcentral
AUACGUAGGUGGCGAGCGUUGUCCGGAUUUACUGGGCGUAAAGGAUGCGUAGGCGGAUAAAUAAGUGAGAUGUGAAAUACCCGGGCCUAACCUGGGGGGUGCAUUUCAAACUGUUUGUCUAGAGUACAGGAGAGGAAAGUGGAAUUUCUAGUGUAGCGGUGAAAUGCGUAGAUAUUAGGAAGAACACCAGUGGCGAAGGCGGCUUUCUGGACUGUUACAGACGCUGAGGCAUGAAAGCAUGGGUAGCGAACAGGAUUAGAUACCCUGGUAGUCCAUGCCGUAAACGAUGAAUACUAGGUGUAGGAGGUAACGAUACCUUCUGUGCCGCCGUAAACACAUUAAGUAUUCCGCCUGGGGAGUACGAUUGCAAGAUUAAA